RNAcentral lists this ribosomal RNA (972 nucleotides) under uncultured bacterium. RNAcentral's name for it is "bacterial SSU rRNA". It matches the Rfam family "Bacterial small subunit ribosomal RNA", at positions 532 to 1501 of the family's 1533-position model. The record is from RNAcentral.
GGGGUUACGCUGUCGGAUUAUUGGGCGUAAGAGCUUGUAGGCGGUUUGUCGCGUCUGCUGUGAAAUUUCGGGGCUUAACCCCGAACUUGCAGUGGGUACGGGCAGACUAGAGUGUGGUAGGGGAGACUGGAAUUCCUGGUGUAGCGGUGAAAUGCGCAGAUAUCAGGAGGAACACCGAUGGCGAAGGCAGGUCUCUGGGCCAUAACUGACGCUGAGAAGCGAAAGCAUGGGGAGCGAACAGGAUUAGAUACCCUGGUAGUCCAUGCCGUAAACGUUGGGAACUAGGUGUGGGUCUCAUUCCACGAGAUCCGUGCCGCAGCUAACGCAUUAAGUUCCCCGCCUGGGGAGUACGGCCGCAAGGCUAAAACUCAAAGGAAUUGACGGGGGCCCGCACAAGCGGCGGAGCAUGCGGAUUAAUUCGAUGCAACGCGAAGAACCUUACCAAGGCUUGACAUGUACCGGAAACGUGCAGAGAUGUGCGCCCCGCAAGGUCGGUACACAGGUGGUGCAUGGUUGUCGUCAGCUCGUGUCGUGAGAUGUUGGGUUAAGUCCCGCAACGAGCGCAACCCUCGUUCUAUGUUGCCAGCACGUGAUGGUGGGGACUCAUAGGAGACUGCCGGGGUCAACUCGGAGGAAGGUGGGGAUGACGUCAAGUCAUCAUGCCCCUUAUGUCCAGGGCUUCACGCAUGCUACAAUGGCCGGUACAAAGGGCUGCGAUCCCGUGAGGGGGAGCGAAUCCCAAAAAGCCGGUCUCAGUUCGGAUUGGGGUCUGCAACUCGACCCCAUGAAGUCGGAGUCGCUAGUAAUCGCAGAUCAGCAACGCUGCGGUGAAUACGUUCCCGGGCCUUGUACACACCGCCCGUCACGUCACGAAAGUCGGCAACACCCGAAGCCAGUGGCCUAACCACCUUGUGUGGGGGGAGCUGUCGAAAGUGGGGCUGGCGAUUGGGACGAAGUCGUAACAAGGUAACC